AAGGACGACGUGUGCGGCGAGGCGCGGAGGGAGAAGUGAGGUUGGGGCGCACCAGAUCGCAAGAAAGAGGGAGAGAAGCUGGGCGAAUUCGGAGAAGGAGGGUCGGAAACACAACGGGGGAAGGCCGGGGAGCGAGGAUUAAGCAGAGGAAAGCCGAGGAGCGAGGAAGGCUUGACCGGGGCUCGAACCCGGGUCGCUACAGUGGAAAUGCGGCGUUUAACCACUGAACUAACGGAGACUGUAGGAAUAUCGAAGGCACCCAGGUUGCACUUCACUGCGAAUGGAAGACGGAAUGUCGAACGCGGUUUGAUCGAUCAGUGGAUCCCUGAACAGCUGAAAUCAGUUAGAAGUUCUCCUGCAAGGGGCGCUACAGGAUAUUCUUACGGAGACGCAGUACUCUAAUUCAAACCAAAUGGUAAUCUUGAAUGUCGGCGGAUUCCUGGAGACUUCACGCAGCCCGAUUCUACAUGGCAGCUGCAUAUUUUUAUUAGUAAUACUAAUGAUCAUAGUCAGUAAUUCUGUUGUAAUCUACGAAUAUACUGUAUGUACAUUUUGACCACCUCUUCCAUUUAGUGGGUCGCUUGCGAAUGGAAUUGUGAUUUCCUACCACCUUCAGUUUUGGACUGGCAAUCCAGUACGUGCAUGAAAUUUGCCAGAAGUUCCAGGCACUUUAGUUUUAUUUUCAGUAGAAUGUGUUGGAUACGAGUUAUUACAACAGUUCUGGUGAAACAACUUACACGCAUCUUACAUCUUACACGCGCAUCGUUUUUGCAAGAGGGAAUUCUCCAAAAACCAAGCAGGUUGAGAACAAAGAACGAAAGAUGGAGAAGACAAUAAAGGAAAUGAUAAUGAGAGAACAUCGGUGUCAUUUUGCCUGGCAUGCACCCAUGUAACAAAACUAGAUUUCCUUAAUUAUGUUUAUCUUUGCUGAUGUUAGCUGAGGGUUUCCCGUAGUAUGGUUGGUAUUCGCAAAUUUUCACAUGUUUACUGUCCUGUGUAAGACACGCUGUUUUUUAAUGGC
Mobula hypostoma (lesser devil ray) is the source of this 1021-nucleotide long non-coding RNA. RefSeq lists it as uncharacterized. The record is from RefSeq and is a predicted model, not a curated record. The transcript is spliced from 3 exons. Lineage: Eukaryota; Metazoa; Chordata; Chondrichthyes; Myliobatiformes; Myliobatidae.